Molecule: ribosomal RNA, 503 nt
Filed under: uncultured bacterium
Lineage: Bacteria
Description: bacterial SSU rRNA
Rfam family: Bacterial small subunit ribosomal RNA
Source: RNAcentral
GAUGAACGCUAGCGACAGGCUUAACACAUGCAAGUCGAGGGGCAACGGGACGUAGCAAUACGUUGCCGGCGACCGGCGGAUGGGUGAGUAACGCGUAUGCAACCUACCCACGACAGGGGGAUAGCCCGUUGAAAGACGGAUUAAUACCCCAUAAAACAGGGGUUCCGCAUGGGACUAUUUGUUAAAGGGUUCUCCGCGAGGGGGACAUCGGUUGUGGAUGGGCAUGCGUUCCAUUAGGCAGUUGGUGAGGUAACGGCUCACCAAACCGACGAUGGAUAGGGGAACCGAGAGGUUGGUCCCCCACACUGGUACUGAGAUACGGACCAGACUCCUACGGGAGGCAGCAGUGAGGAAUUUUUGGUCAAUGGACGGAAGUCUGAACCAGCCAAGUCGCGUGAAGGAAGGCGGCCCUAAGGGUUGUAAACUUCUUUUGUAAGGGAAUAAAGUGCGUUACGUGUAGUGCAUUGCAAGUACCUUACGAAUAAGGAUCGGCUAACUCCGUG